Molecule: ribosomal RNA, 1297 nt
Filed under: metagenome
Description: bacterial LSU rRNA
Rfam family: Archaeal large subunit ribosomal RNA
Source: RNAcentral
GGAAAGCGUGAUGGGGUAACUUGACAAAUUCCUGGAGCCCGCGAAAAGGGAGACGGCGUCCGUACCGAGAACCGACACAGGUGCCCCUCGCUGAGAAGGCGAAGGCGUGUCGGAGUGAAUUGUGUUAAGGGAACUCGGCAAAUUAGCCCCGUAACUUCGGGAGAAGGGGUGCCUGCCUGGAGAUCAGGCAGGUCGCAGUGACCGGGGAGCUCUAACUGUCUAAUAACAACAUAGGUGACUGCAACUCGGAAACGACUAGUAUAGUCACUGAUUCCUGCCCAGUGCGAGUAUCUGAAUACCGGGUUCAACCGGACGAAGGACUCGUAAACGGCGGGGGUAACGAUGACCCUCUUAAGGUAGCGUAGUACCUUGUCGCUUAAUUGGCGACUUGCAUGAAUGGAUUAAUGAGAGCUCUACUGUCCCUAACACAAGCCCGUUGAACCUUUUGUCCUAGUGCAGAGACUAGGGACUCCUAUUGGGAAGUGAAGACCCCGUGGAGCUUUACUGCAGCCUGUCGCUGAAUUACGGUAUUACAUGCGCAGUGUAGAUGGGAGGCGUUAUAUCCGUUUCUUUCGGGAAACGGGGAGCCAACAAUGAGACACCAUCCUUGUUUUACUGUAGUUCUCACUCCAACGAGGACAACGAUAGGUGGGCAGUUUGGGUGGGGCGCCACACCCUCGAGAAAAUAUCAAGGGUGCCCUAAGGUCAACUCAUGUGAGUCAGAAACUCACAGAAGAGUGUCAAGAGCAAAAGUUGGCCUGACGCGAUUGCGCUUAGCAAGCAAUCGCGAGAGGAAACUCGGGUCUAACGAACCAAUACGCCCUGUUGGUGAGGGCUAUUGACGACAGAAAAGCUACCCCGGGGAUAACAGAGUCGUCGCCGGCAAGAGCACAUAUCGACCCGGCGGCUUGCUACCUCGAUGUCGGUUCUUUCCAUCCUGGCUGUGCAGCAGCAGCCAAGGGUGAGGUUGUUCGCCUAUUAAAGGGGAUCGUGAGCUGGGUUUAGACCGUCGUGAGACAGGUCGGUUACUAUCUAAUAGGAGUGUCAGGAGUCUGAGGGUAAGAAUGGAAUAGUGCGAGAGGAACUUCCAUUCGGCGCCACUAGUCGAUCGGUUGUCUGACAAGGCAAUGCCGAGCAGCCACGCGCCAAGGGAUAAAAGCUGAAAGCAUCUAAGCUUGAAACCCGGCCUAAAAAGAGACUCCGUUGAGGACAUGGGUAAAAGACCCGUUUGAUAGGCCUGGGAUGUACGCACGAAGGCAACGACGUGUUCAGUCCGCAGGUACUAACGUCCAAAUCC